RNAcentral lists this transfer RNA (87 nucleotides) under Candidatus Aquicultor primus. RNAcentral's name for it is "Actinobacteria bacterium GWC2_53_9 tRNA-Leu". It matches the Rfam family "tRNA". From Rfam's summary of the family: Transfer RNA (tRNA) molecules are approximately 80 nucleotides in length. The record is from RNAcentral. Lineage: Bacteria; Bacillati; Actinomycetota; Candidatus Aquicultoria; Candidatus Aquicultorales; Candidatus Aquicultoraceae.
GCGAGAAUGGCGGAAUUGGUAGACGCGCUAGGUUCAGGGUCUAGUGUCCGUAAGGAUAUGGGGGUUCAAGUCCCCCUUCUCGCACCG